GAUGAACGCUGGCGGCGUGCCUAAUACAUGCAAGUCGAGCGAACAGACGAGGAGCUUGCUCCCCUGACGUUAGCGGCGGACGGGUGAGUAACACGUGGAUAACCUACCUAUAAUACUGGGAUAACUUCGGGAAGCCGGAGCUAAUACCGGAUAAUAUAUUGAACCGCAUGGUUCAAUAGUGAAAGACGGUUUUGCUGUCACUUAUAGAUGGAUCCGCGCCGCAUUAGCUAGUUGGUAAGGUAACGGCUUACCAAGGCAACGAUGCGUAGCCGACCUGAGAGGGUGAUCGGCCACACUGGAACUGAGACACGGUCCAGACUCCUACGGGAGGCAGCAGUAGGGAAUAUUCCGCAAUGGGCGAAAGCCUGACGGAGCAACGCCGCGUGAGUGAUGAAGGUCUUCGGAUCGUAAAACUCUGUUAUUAGGAAAGAACAAAUGUGUAAGUAACUAUGCACGUCUUGACGGUACCUAAUCAGAAAGCCACGGCUAACUACGUG
Molecule: ribosomal RNA, 497 nt
Filed under: uncultured bacterium
Lineage: Bacteria
Description: partial 16S ribosomal RNA
Rfam family: Bacterial small subunit ribosomal RNA
Source: RNAcentral